CGAAGGUGGCAAGCGUUACUCGGAAUUACUAGGCGUAAAGGGCAGGUAGGUGGUUUGGUAAGUCUGCUGUGUAAGCUCCCGGCUUAACUGGGAGAGGCCAGCGGAAACUACCAGGCUUGAGUAUAGGAGAGGAUACUGGAAUUCCCGGUGUAGCGGUGAAAUGCGCAGAUAUCGGGAGGAACACCAAUGGCGAAAGCAGGUAUCUGGACUAUUACUGACACUAAGCUGCGAAAGCUAGGGGAGCAAACAGGAUUAGAUACCCUGGUAGUCCUAGCUGUAAACGAUGCACAUUAGACGUGAGGGGUAUCGACCCCCUUCGUGUCGAAGUUAACACAUUAAAUGUGCCGCCUGGGGAGUACGGCCGCAAGGUUG
RNAcentral lists this ribosomal RNA (372 nucleotides) under uncultured organism. Its description in RNAcentral is "bacterial SSU rRNA". It matches the Rfam family "Bacterial small subunit ribosomal RNA", at positions 526 to 896 of the family's 1533-position model. The record is from RNAcentral.